Molecule: long non-coding RNA, 927 nt
Organism: Talpa occidentalis (Iberian mole)
Lineage: Eukaryota; Metazoa; Chordata; Mammalia; Eulipotyphla; Talpidae
Exons: 3
Source: RefSeq, a predicted model, not a curated record
UAAGGGUUUAGCCCCGCUGUCAGGGCUGCUCUACUCACACCAGUGUGAGGGCACGUCUUUUCUGAUGCCAGAAAAAUCUGCAAUUGUGGAAUCACCAAAGGUUUUCAUUUUAAAACCUGAUAUUUUGAAGUAUAGAUUUAAAUGUCGCUAUAUGUUUGUUUGGAUUAAGCAAUUAAAUAAAUAGAUGGUGGGUGGUGACGGAGUUACACAUAAUGAACAAGAAGCUAGAUUGUUCAUGUACAAAUCGUCUCCCCAAUGUGUGAAGAAGUCUGGAAAGACCAAACAUCAAAAAUCAUAAAAAUCUGGGAAAAGAUAAAAAAGAAGAAAAAGAAAAAAGAAAAACAACAGUGCUACCUGCUAGAAAAGUGCUCUCCUGAUACAAAGAAGCACAGAAUUCUGCAACCAGCAACCUUGACUUCAUGAGGAUCUGUCUCAGCCAUGGAGCAGAGAACAGGUUAUGUGAACUUUUCUAACCCACCAGCGUCAGAACAAUGAUACAUUGGUCCUUCAGAACACAACAUUUCAGUUCUGUGAACACAAGAGAAAAUGAUAUUUUUAGACUGAUAGUGUAUUUGGUGCAAACAAAGUUAAAAGGUCAAGAAAAUGAUUGUAUCUCUCUGCAAGAGGAUUUAUGUCUAUUUGUACCUGGUUUCUAUGUAAUCACUUAGCACCAAUGGCAGAAAAAUGCUAUUAUUAGUCAUAAUAGUUUUUGUUGUUUUUCCAUUGAUUUAAGAGUUCAUGCUGAAAACAAAGUGCUGUCAAAUGAUGAAUCAUUUAUUACCACCUUGUCCUGAACAGGAUUUGAUGUGGGCAAGCCAGAUGCACUGGGUCACCUAAGCACAUUCCUUAUAUUGUGCUACAUGGAAGCUCAAGCAACACAGGUCUAUAACAAGCAGUCACUAUAAAGCUAAUUAUUGUAUGAGAAUG